UUUAUUUAGCAGUUAAGGAGUAAUAGUUGUGCUCUUUCGUUAGUGCAUUUCAUUUGUAUCUAUUUAUUUAUUAAAAUGCAAAAAGGUUUUGCAGAUAGUACAAAUCUGCCAAAAAUUGAUUCAACGACGGU
Long non-coding RNA from Melitaea cinxia (Glanville fritillary), 131 nucleotides. RefSeq lists it as uncharacterized. The transcript has 3 exons. The record is from RefSeq and is a predicted model, not a curated record. NCBI's taxonomy places the organism in Eukaryota, Metazoa, Arthropoda, Insecta, Lepidoptera, Nymphalidae.